This 77-nucleotide transfer RNA is filed under the name Deltaproteobacteria bacterium. RNAcentral's name for it is "tRNA-Pro". It matches the Rfam family "tRNA". From Rfam's summary of the family: Transfer RNA (tRNA) molecules are approximately 80 nucleotides in length. The record is from RNAcentral. RNAcentral also lists the same sequence under 3 other names. Lineage: Bacteria; Pseudomonadati; Myxococcota; Myxococcia.
CGGGGCGUAGCUUAGCCCGGUAGAGCGCCUGCUUCGGGAGCAGGAGGUCGCUGGUUCAAAUCCAGUCGCCCCGACCA